ACUAAACAGGAUUCUCUUAGUAACUGCGAGUGAACAGAGAUUAGCCCAGCAUCGAAGCCUCUGUGCGUUUGUGCAGAAGGCAAUGUGAUGUGACGGUGUUCGAUUUCGCAAACUGACUAACUUGAAGUCCAUAUUUGACUGUGGCUUACACUUAUGCUCCCCGAGAUGGUGAAAGGCCCGUUCAGGUUGGUAUUCAGAAUUGACUGUUUGCGUAUAUUCGUUCACCAUAGAGUCGGAUUGCUUGAGAGUGCAGUCCAAAUUUGGUGGUAAACUCCAUCAAAGGCUAAAUACCUGUGUGAGUCCGAUAGUCAACAAGUACCGUGAGGGAAAGUUGAAAAGUACUCUGAAGAGAGAGUAAAUAGUACGUGAAACUACAUGGAGGUUAAUCGGAUAGAGUCCAACUGCGU
This 407-nucleotide ribosomal RNA is filed under the name Capsalidae sp. 2 EMP-2009. RNAcentral describes it as "eukaryotic LSU rRNA". It matches the Rfam family "Eukaryotic large subunit ribosomal RNA", at positions 64 to 439 of the family's 3401-position model. Lineage: Eukaryota; Metazoa; Platyhelminthes; Monogenea; Capsalidea; Capsalidae. The record is from RNAcentral.